CAGAGAAACUUAAAGCCUGUGGUGAACAACAAAACCCAAACCCAGUUCAGCUCCUGAUAAGAUCGACAAUCUUGGGCAUUAAUGGCCUAACAGAAUAAACAUACCCGUUUCCAGACAUAAAUAUUAUCUCAGUAUCUGUCCUACCUACUAUGUCUGGCAAUUGCUCAAAAAUUACAGGACACAACCUUUCCAGCGCCAGCCCAGAGCCAGCUGUCCUCCACGCACCAGCAUCCAGUGAGACGCGCCGCGCACCCACGGAGCGGACACAGGCGGAGCGGUGGUGGCCAGGCUCGGACUGGGGCGGCUGCUCCGGGCACUCCUCUGACCUACGCAGGUUUAUUCAAAUCAAACAACUGUUCCACCAGUUUCAAGGAACUCCUCCCAGACUACCUCGGCUGCCCCAAAUCCAGCUAAUGCCACCACCAAGGCAAAUAACGGUGCCCUGCAGUCAACAGCCAGUCUCUUCACGAUCUCGGUCUCCCUUCUACAUCUCUACUGCUAAGAGACGCAGGCCAAGAAACAUCUGUAUUUCCCCAUCUUCGAAACUCAAUUCAUAUGGCAUCUAGACACCCAGUGUGACAAGGAAAAUCAAUACUUCCCCAUUUCAAAACU
This is a non-coding RNA of Vicugna pacos (alpaca), 612 nucleotides long. The record is from RefSeq and is a predicted model, not a curated record. NCBI's taxonomy places the organism in Eukaryota, Metazoa, Chordata, Mammalia, Artiodactyla, Camelidae.